UUCGUGAGUGCGGAGAUUGGGAUUAGUUCCCAAUCUCAAAACUCACACACUCACGGACUUUGAUGCGCGCUCCUGUAAAGGGUUUAGGGCUGUCCGACUGUCAAGUCAUCGACUGUUUGGGGGCUCUCGCGCAGGCAUUUGAAGGCUGUCAUGAACUCUUUCGUGAAUCUGCAUUCCUAGGCCUUGCUCAAGGGAUUAACCGGUGGAAGCAUGGAAAUGCAAAAAAGGAAGGUCAACAAAGAGGUCUGCAUAUGGGGGUUCUGGCUGGCAAAUUUUAUUUACUCAAAAAACUUUAAGGGUUGAAGAUGGAAAACAAAAACGCAGAUUAUUUGAAAUCAACUCACUUUUUUUACAUUGUCAUGGUGACAUGUUGCAGAAAAGUUCCGUCCGAGUCCCACUUCACACCAUUUACAAACCGUGCAUCUCUCGCCCCUCCACUAGCAAGGUGGUGUCAUGAAGUGCUGAGGGUUCAGGGGCAACGGCUUUAGGAGGAAAAAUAGGAUUGGGCUUCAGCCUCUGCUGAGCCCUACUAUUACCUCACCCCUCGAUAUUGCAUGUCAAGACAGAGUUAUCCGAGCACCUUUACCAUGAAUAAUAGCCUCAUUAAAAACUCAUCUUAAAAAAUAAACACAGGAUGCGCAUGAGAGAAAUUGUGUUUUGAAUUGGAAAAAAAUUGUCAAUUUUCCCUUCAGUAAAAAUUCUUUCUUGCUUGCUAUUUUCUUUCUGCCUUAACGCAGUGAACCGUAACCAUGGUCUUUACUCAUUACUCUUUUACGUCAAUCUUGACAGCUCCAUUUGUGAGAAGUGAUUGACAGAGCCAAGCUCAGACAAAAUCAUUUUGAGAUACUUUAUAUCUACACGUCCAUGUAACGAUGAUGAGUGAAACAGUAGCCAGGUUAAUAAAUAAAUAAAUGUGAAGAUAAAAAAAUAAAUGCUGAAAUAAAUGUGGAAAUAAGUAAAUGAAUGUAACCAUAAAUAAAUAUAAGUUGAUAAUAAAAAAGGUAAUUUAUUUAUUUCUACAUGUAUGUUCUCCUACAUUUAUUCAUGUAUUCAUUUAUGGGUCUGUAUCAUAUAUUUAUUUCUACAUUUCUGUUCGCCUACAUUUUCGCAUAUAUUUAUGCGUGUGUCUGUAUGCUAAUGAGGUGGGCGGUGCUAACCUCUGUCUGAAGCAGGAUUGGUGAGAGGAGUGUGACGCUCCUGGUCUACUCUUUCUGUCUUGAAGUUCGCUCCUCGGCAGAAGCUGUUAGCAUUUGGCUACAUGCUAUUUACGAACCAUUUCAAAUCAAUUGCAAUCGUUAGCAAACGAUUUAGAGAAGCGCGUUAAGAAAGACACGCGUCAGUUUCUGCUGGAUAAAGUGAAUGAAGACGUGGAUGUGGAAGCUGACCAAACAGUGGUGAUACGAUGGACGUCCGUCGUAUAUUUUAUUCUCCUUUGGGGUCAACAUGGCGCAGCUGCUCGGAGGAUGCUGCAGUACGGAAUGAGGUUAUGAAGUGUUUUUUCUGGUUUCAUUUACUAUCUUUUAAAAGUAGCUUUAUAUCAUUUUGCAAAUGCACGUAAUAUUUACUGAUGGUAAGUUUUAUGAACUUUUUACACAGUUGCUAUGGAAUAAACUUUGCAGUAUAUAAGAUAAUUUGCAACCCAGUUACUUAAUUAAAUAAAGUUGAAUGUGGUCCGAUUUUGCACCUUUUUAAUUAAGCAAAACUGCUUCAGUUUGACCCUUAUGAUGGUGCUGCAUUCAGAAACUCAACAAGUGAAAUAUUAAUUGCGUGUAAAAUGGAUAUGGCCAAAUGUAUUUAGGCAGCAGGUUCAGGUUAAAGCUCUAUUUUUUUUUACAGCACAUAGCUGGGUUCAGACUAACACAGGAACACACAGUCUCUUAAAAUAAUCUCAAAUUUAAACCGCACUUUAAGACAGAUCGAUGUUGACUUGUGACCAACAUGUGAUAUUUGUACUGUGAGUCAGGUCACAUUGCUUUUGUUGUCUCUUCUGACUUUUGUCUUGUUGUUUUUGAUGACCAGAGUCCACGCCCUAUAAACUCCAUUAGAGGACAACGGUUUGGAUGAAACUGGGACUCAAAUUCUGCAGCAACAUCCCAACCCUGGAUACCAAAUGGUGGUUUGGCAUUUGAAUGCACCACGCACACGUUUACAAGAAACACCUUCAGGUUAUCCAGGAUGGCUGGACCUGCUGCGACUACGUACGGAGGGAAACCAGUCCACCCCGCAACUGUGGAGUCUCCAAGAACACGAGGCACAGCAGGACCCAGUACAGAUCCACAUGGAGGUUGGAGUUGACUGGACCGCGUGGUCAUCGUCAGCCUGCUGUUCUGGUCCCUGAACUUCAGCUGCAAUGCUGAAGGCCCCCUGUCCAAUGUGUUGGAUGUCUUUGGACAAACUGUAUGCUUAGUGUUCAACAUGCUCCAGUAAAUGCCUCUAUCACCAGCUGCAUGACGCAGGGGGAAG
This is a long non-coding RNA of Pungitius pungitius (ninespine stickleback), 2463 nucleotides long. RefSeq lists it as uncharacterized. The record is from RefSeq and is a predicted model, not a curated record. Lineage: Eukaryota; Metazoa; Chordata; Actinopteri; Perciformes; Gasterosteidae. The transcript is spliced from 3 exons.